This 468-nucleotide ribosomal RNA is filed under the name uncultured bacterium. RNAcentral's name for it is "partial 16S ribosomal RNA". It matches the Rfam family "Bacterial small subunit ribosomal RNA", at positions 28 to 507 of the family's 1533-position model. The record is from RNAcentral.
GACGAACGUUGGCGGCGUGCUUAACACAUGCAAGUCGAACGGAAAGGCCCUGCUCUUGUGGGGUGCUCGGGUGGCGAACGGGUGAGUAACACGUGAGUAACCUGCCCUUGACUUUGGGAUAACUUCAGGGAACUGGGGCUAAUACCGGAUAGGAGCUCCUGCUGCAUGGGGGGGGUGGGAAAGUGUCGGCGGUUGGGGAUGGACUCGCGGCUUAUCAGCUUGUUGGGGGGGUAGUGGCUUACCAAGGCUUUGACGGGUAGCCGGCCUGAGAGGGUGACCGGCCACAGUGGGACUGCGAUAGGGCACAGACUGCUACGGGAGGCAGCAGUGGGGAAUAUGGCACAAUGGGCGGAAGCCUGAUGCAGCAACGCCGCGUGCGGGAGGACGGCCUUCUGGUUGUAAACCGCUGUCGCCUGUGAUGAAGCGUGAGUGACGGUAAUGGGUAAAGAAGCACCGGCUAACUACGUG